GACAGAGGGUGCAAACGUUGUUCGGAAUUACUGGGCGUAAAGCGAGUGUAGGCGGUCUGAAAAGUCGGGUGUGAAAGCCCUGGGCUCAACCCAGGAAGUGCACUCGAAACUGCCAGGCUAGAGUAUCGGAGAGGUUGGUGGAAUUCUCGGUGUAGAGGUGAAAUUCGUAGAUAUCGAGAGGAACACCGGUGGCGAAGGCGGCGAUCUGGACGAUGACUGACGCUGAGACGCGAAAGCGUGGGGAGCAAACAGG
RNAcentral lists this ribosomal RNA (253 nucleotides) under uncultured bacterium. Its description in RNAcentral is "partial 16S ribosomal RNA". It matches the Rfam family "Bacterial small subunit ribosomal RNA", at positions 524 to 776 of the family's 1533-position model. The record is from RNAcentral.